UGGCUCUGGCAUCGAUGAAGAACGCAGCGAAAUGCGAUAAGUAAUGUGAAUUGCAGAAUUCAGUGAAUCAUCGAAUCUUUGAACGCACAUUGCGCCCGCCAGCAUUCUGGCGGGCAUGCCUGUUCGAGCGUCAUUUCAACCCUCGGGCCCCCCUUCUCGCGAUCGGGGGCCCGGUGUUGGGGGACGGCCCCAGGCCCGCCACCGAGCGGGUCGGCCGCCCCCGAAAACCAGUGGCGGCCACGCCGCGGGCUCCUCUGCGUAGUAGCAACACCUCGCACUUGGGACCCGGCGCGGCCACGCCGUAAAUCAGACGAAUCUUUCUGAAAGGUUGACCUCGGAUCAGGUAGGAAUACCCGCUGA
RNAcentral lists this unclassified non-coding RNA (360 nucleotides) under uncultured fungus. RNAcentral describes it as "partial contains 5.8S ribosomal RNA and internal transcribed spacer 2". The stretch from base 1 to 133 matches the Rfam family "5.8S ribosomal RNA", at positions 22 to 154 of the family's 154-position model. Lineage: Eukaryota; Fungi. The record is from RNAcentral.